AUUGAUUGGUGGGGCUACCAUUCAUCUCUUCAACAUGAAAAAACAGUUGAAGACAGGGAAGCAUAAGCUUAGGCUUUGGCCAGGCAAAGAGGCAGAUGGAUCUAUUAACACAACAACACCUGGAAAGGUCCCAAGGGAGGAACGCGGGGAGUUGGAGCGUUUGGAGAAGCUGGUUAAUAAGUAUGAGAGAGGACAGAUUCAACGAGUUGAUUGGCUGGACCGCCUUGCAUUUAAAGCAAUGGACAAAAUUAAGGAGACUGAAAAUAGUCGAAAUGGAAGUUCUCAUUUGUAUGUGGUUGUUGAUUUUUGCAGUUUUGAACAUCGAG
RNAcentral lists this unclassified non-coding RNA (326 nucleotides) under Hevea brasiliensis (rubber tree). The record is from RNAcentral. Lineage: Eukaryota; Viridiplantae; Streptophyta; Magnoliopsida; Malpighiales; Euphorbiaceae.